GGAGGCGACUGGGACCUGGUGGUCUCCCUGGUCUUCAAAACCAGUGACGCGCCCUCAGGGCGUGUGGUGGGUUCGAUUCCCAUCCGCCUCCGCCA
This 95-nucleotide transfer RNA is filed under the name Alphaproteobacteria bacterium. Its description in RNAcentral is "tRNA-Sec". It matches the Rfam family "Selenocysteine transfer RNA". The record is from RNAcentral. Lineage: Bacteria; Pseudomonadati; Pseudomonadota; Alphaproteobacteria.